AGUGAACGCUGGCGGUAGGCCUAACACAUGCAAGUCGAACGGCAGCACAGUAAGAGCUUGCUCUUACGGGUGGCGAGUGGCGGACGGGUGCGGAAUACAUCGGAAUCUACUUUUUCGUGGGGGAUAACGUAGGGAAACUUACGCUAAUACCGCAUACGACCUACGGGUGAAAGCAGGGGAUCUUCGGACCUUGCGCGAUUGAAUGAGCCGAUGUCGGAUUAGCUAGUUGGCGGGGUAAAGGCCCACCAAGGCGACGAUCCGUAGCUGGUCUGAGAGGAUGAUCAGCCACACUGGAACUGGGACAAGGUCCGGACUCCUACGGGAGGGAACAGUGGGGAAUAUUGGAUAAUGGGCGCAAGCCUGAUCCAGCCAUACCGCGUGGGUGAGGAAGGCCUUCGGGUGGUAAAGCCCUUUUGUUGGGAAAGAAAAGCAGCAGGUUAAUACCCCGCUGUUCUGACGGUACCCAAAGAAUAAGCACCGGAUAACUUCGUG
This 492-nucleotide ribosomal RNA is filed under the name uncultured bacterium. RNAcentral's name for it is "partial 16S ribosomal RNA". It matches the Rfam family "Bacterial small subunit ribosomal RNA", at positions 29 to 507 of the family's 1533-position model. The record is from RNAcentral.